RNAcentral lists this ribosomal RNA (499 nucleotides) under uncultured bacterium. RNAcentral describes it as "bacterial SSU rRNA". It matches the Rfam family "Bacterial small subunit ribosomal RNA", at positions 29 to 507 of the family's 1533-position model. The record is from RNAcentral.
ACGAACGCUGGCGGCGUGCCUAAUACAUGCAAGUCGAGCGGACUAAUUAAGAGCUUGCUCUUAUGAGGUUAGCGGCGGACGGGUGAGUAACACGUGGGCAACCUGCCCUGUAGCCUGGGAUAACAUCGAGAAAUCGGUGCUAAUACCGGAUAAUUGUUGGAACUGCAUAGUUCUAACUUAAAAGAUGGCUCCGGCUAUCACUAUAGGAUGGGCCCGCGGCGCAUUAGCUAGUUGGUAAGGUAAUGGCUUACCAAGGCGACGAUGCGUAGCCGACCUGAGAGGGGUGAUCGGCCACACUGGGACUGAGACACGGCCCAGACUCCUACGGGAGGCAGCAGUAGGGAAUCUUCCGCAAUGGACGAAAGUCUGACGGAGCAACGCCGCGUGAGUGAUGAAGGUUUUCGGAUCGUAAAGCUCUGUUGUUAGGGAAGAACAAGUGCCGUUCGAAUAGGACGGCACCUUGACGGUACCUAACCAGAAAGCCACGGCUAACUACGUG